GGACUACAGGGGUUUCUAAUCCCGUUUGCUCCCCUGGCCUUCGUGCCUCAGCGUCAGCAACUGUCCAGAGACUCGCCUUCGCCACUGGUCUUCCUUACGAUCUCUACGCAUUUCACUGCUACACCGUAAAUUCCAGUCUCCUCUCCAGUGCUCGAGCAAAGCAGUAUCCAAUGCAGUUCCGGGGUUGAGCCCCGGGAUUUCACAUCGGACUUGCUCUGCCGCCUACGCACCCUUUACGCCCAAUGAAUCCGAACAACGCUCGAGACCUCUGUAUUACCGCGGCUGCUGGCAC
This 292-nucleotide ribosomal RNA is filed under the name uncultured Verrucomicrobiota bacterium. Its description in RNAcentral is "uncultured Verrucomicrobia bacterium partial 16S ribosomal RNA". Lineage: Bacteria; Pseudomonadati; Verrucomicrobiota. The record is from RNAcentral.